RNAcentral lists this ribosomal RNA (456 nucleotides) under uncultured bacterium. RNAcentral describes it as "bacterial SSU rRNA". It matches the Rfam family "Bacterial small subunit ribosomal RNA", at positions 340 to 786 of the family's 1533-position model. The record is from RNAcentral.
UACGGGAGGCAGCAGUGGGGAAUAUUGCACAAUGGGCGAAAGCCUGAUGCAGCUAUGCCGCGUGUAUGAAGAAGGCCUUAGGGUUGUAAAGUACUUUCAUCGGGGAGGAAAAAACAAAACUAAUAAUUUUAUUUCUUGACGUUACCCGAAAAAGAAGCACCGGCUAACUCCGUGCCAGCAGCCGCGGUAAUACGGAGGGUGCUAGCGUUAAUCAGAAUUACUGGGCGUAAAGAGCACGUAGGUGGUUUUUUUAAAGUCAGAUGUGAAAUCCCUGGGCUUAACCUGGAACUGCAUUUUGAAACUGAAAUACUAGAGUAUCGUAGAGGGAGGUAGAAUUCUAGGCGUAGCGGUGAAAUGCGUAGAUAUCUGGAGGAAUACCUGUGGCGAAAGCGGCCUCCUAAACGAAUACUGACACUGAGGUGCGAAAGCGUGGGGAGCAAACAGGGAUUAGAUACC